Non-coding RNA from Rattus norvegicus (Norway rat), 2220 nucleotides. Lineage: Eukaryota; Metazoa; Chordata; Mammalia; Rodentia; Muridae. The record is from RefSeq and is a predicted model, not a curated record.
AGCCAUCUCAGGUUUGCAUCCAGAAAACCUAACAGCCCGAGCUUCUAACAAUCCAGUGGAAGCAGAGGCAUGAAGAGAAGUUGUUCCGUGAGCAUUUUGCAAAAUAACAGUGCAAGGCUGCUACUUGCAGGCCUUAGUCAAUUUCUUAGGCAGGGGGUAUUGCUUUUGUCCACAUAGUUGCCCAUUCCGGGGGCUCAGGUGACCAUCAAUCUGCAGAGCUGCCUCACUCACGCCGCACAGAGACUUUCCACACUGGUGUCUCCUAGAACAAGCUGCAUUUCUAAUAUGAUUCCCCUCCCCCCUUAAACUUGGUAUGAUUUUAAACUGUUCAAAGUCACAAUAAACAAAAACUGAAACAAGGCAAACAAACCUCCUGAGAGUGGCUGUCUCCCAGACUGGUGUUCAAUACUAUUUGUCAUUUUGCCAAUUUCUGCAAGGAAAAUCUGCUAUAUUUGUUAGCUGUAUACUGUGCCAGGAGUCAGAGGGAAGCUUCCCUCCUAAAGAUUCCCCUAGUGUUUUGGUUUACUGGAUAAGCAGGGUAGACAGAAUAAGGAAGCAGCAGCUGGCAAACGAGGUGGUGUAGCAUCUCUGUUUCCUGUUGGUUUUGGACGUCCACCUUUUAGCGCAUGCCAGGCUGCUCCUGGGUAUCUGUUUGUGCUGGUGGUAGCUGCUUGGCAGAGUCUUUUCUUACUGUUGUUACAGUGUGUUGUCAGUGACAGUACACUGGUAUCUUGAACCUGUCCACGAGGGAGUAUUUACACUAUGGAAGUAAGCAAAAUCUACAAGUACCCUGAAGUCAAGACUGCUUCUUCACGUCUAGCUGGUAACCCCCUUCCAGUGCCUGUGGCUGUUAGUGCUCCACGUCUCAAGCCCUGGAUGAUGAACAUUGGACAAAAGUUGGCUUCUAUAUCUUCACACAAUACUCCCUUUAAACCUUACAGGGACCCAGUGAGGAAGGCUACUUAAAUUCCCACUGAUUCUUGAGAAGAAGCCUCAAAGAGGGGGAAGUAGCUGGUCCUAUAACCAGGGAGCGGCCAUAACUCAACUGGAAACCAAACCUCUAAGUUCUUCAUUAAAUUUAUGAUGCUUCUCAGGCAUCAGAAGAAAGUUUUCUAUUUGUGCUACGUUUUAUCACCUCUAACAAGGAAGAGAGAGGACAACAGCAGAUCAGCAGAAUAUAGAGCAUCAAAUAGACACUGAAGAUGGCUGCAGUAAGACUUACGUAGGCACAAGGUCACCUCAUGGGAUGUUUACUCCCUUUCACAUCUGCAUUACGCUUCCCAGCUUCUCAGUCUGCUGAAAGGUGAUGAGGCAAGUGGAGAGUGGAGACUAAGAAACAGAAAACAGGCAAUCAGUGACUGUCCCGCGCUAUCGUCUUGCCAGCAAGAACGCAUGCGGACACCAGGAUCCUUCUGCAGCAAAGCGUUUAUUGCAUCUUGAAGAGGAGAGACGCCUCGGCCCCAGAGAGUAUUAGCUUUAUAUCACCUAAAGCAACGUGUUCCUUCCUGAUUGGCCACAUAGCCGUGAUCUCAUUGGCACGCCCCGGGGGGGGGGGCAAAGACUUGGCGCGAACACAAACUUGCGCAUGCGCACUGCGUCCUUCGGGGGUGGACAACAGCUGUGCCCUGUACUAACAGACAACAGCUGGUACGGGUGGCUACCAACAAGUGACCCAAAGAGAUGUGACAGGCAUGGGGACGAGACACAUCAGACUCUGGGAGGUAAGCAGUGCAUCAUGGGAAAAAUUUUAAGUUCUUGUUUCAUUCUGUUGGCGAAGAGCUUGCUCAUUUUGUAAUCCAGGCAGGCCUUGAACUCACAUGCUCAGUUUCCCAAGUUCUGAGAUUACAGACCUGAGCCACUGUGGGCGACUUUUGAGUUCCUGAUAUAGCAUUGGCUUUUACUUGCCAUGAGAUAUGAAGCCACCGGAGGAGGUCUUAGCGCAGGGGCAUGAGAGUUCCCAGAGUCAUUAGCCUGAGUUCAUAGAAAUGGAGUAACUUUCUGAAGGUGAUUGAGCCGGGACUCAAACCAGUCCUUAUCUGAUGUCUGUGUCCUGUUUGCUGCAAGCAUUUCUUUCCUAAUGUAUUAGGUACAAACUCUUACUUCUGUAUACUACUUAAGUCUCUGUUUUAGGUCCGCCCUCCUUUUUAUGGAGAGAGAGGUUGUGUCAGAUCUGUGUUGUUUUUUUCCCCCACUCAUUCCAAAAAUAAAUACUCAUCCCUG